GGCACCUCGUGGCUCAGUGGGAAGAGCGUCUGUUUCAUUCUCAGAAGGUCCCAGGUUCAAUCCCUGCCGUCGCCA
This 75-nucleotide transfer RNA is filed under the name Sphaerodactylus townsendi. RNAcentral's name for it is "tRNA-Met". The stretch from base 8 to 69 matches the Rfam family "tRNA", at positions 6 to 65 of the family's 71-position model. Rfam says of the family: Transfer RNA (tRNA) molecules are approximately 80 nucleotides in length. Their secondary structure includes four short double-helical elements and three loops (D, anti-codon, and T loops). Further hydrogen bonds mediate the characteristic L-shaped molecular structure. tRNAs have two regions of fundamental functional importance: the anti-codon, which is responsible for specific mRNA codon recognition, and the 3' end, to which the tRNAs corresponding amino acid is attached (by aminoacyl-tRNA synthetases). tRNAs cope with the degeneracy of the genetic code in two manners: having more than one tRNA (with a specific anti-codon) for a particular amino acid; and 'wobble' base-pairing, i.e. permitting non-standard base-pairing at the 3rd anti-codon position. The record is from RNAcentral. Lineage: Eukaryota; Metazoa; Chordata; Lepidosauria; Squamata; Sphaerodactylidae.